GAAUCUGAUGGAGCCUAGCCCGUGGACUAUGAAGGGCUUCUGAUUGUAAAGUUCUUUUAUUUAGGAAAAAAAGCGCGCUAGGAAAUGAGCGCGCCUUGAUGGUACUAAUUGAAUAAGUGACAGCUAACUAUGUGCCAACAGCUGCGGUAAA
RNAcentral lists this ribosomal RNA (151 nucleotides) under uncultured Mycoplasma sp. RNAcentral describes it as "partial 16S ribosomal RNA". It matches the Rfam family "Bacterial small subunit ribosomal RNA", at positions 379 to 524 of the family's 1533-position model. The record is from RNAcentral. Lineage: Bacteria; Bacillati; Mycoplasmatota; Mollicutes; Mycoplasmatales; Mycoplasmataceae.